Non-coding RNA from Pelodiscus sinensis (Chinese soft-shelled turtle), 662 nucleotides. NCBI's taxonomy places the organism in Eukaryota, Metazoa, Chordata, Testudines, Trionychidae. The record is from RefSeq and is a predicted model, not a curated record.
GCAUGGGAGUGGACUGAACAAAGAGAAAAUUAGAAAAUAUACAGAUUGUCCCUGAUGGUCAGACUUUCCUGUAAAGGACCCAAAUCUGUUGCCCUUGCAUCCAUGUCAAUGGGACUGCUUUCCCAGCAAGAUUCUACUGUUUUCUCCUUGAAAACUUUUCCACACUGUCAUAAUCCUGCAUUCACAUGGAUCCCCAAUGAAACCAAGCUGUCUCUAUGAGGGUGCAGGGGUCCACCUUCAUAGAGCAACUUUCAGGAUCAGAGCUUAAAUUCAACCUAGUCCAGUGCUUUGAGGGCUGCCUAGGAUAGAAGAACAGAACAGAUUGCACCAAUGAACUAGAACAUAAACACUUUGCAGGCUAAGAAGACAUUCUGGAAAGAUGCAUGAAAAUGCAACUUUCACCUCAAACUCCUUUAUCCUUCUUCCCAGAACCAUGUAGUCUGCAGUGACCCGUGCUCAAGGUUAUUCUUGGCAAUAUCAUUGGUGCCUACGUGGAGAAGUAGGAAGUGGAGAAGUGGAGAAAGUAGGAUGGCUUGAUCAACCUUAGUAAUAGAGAUGCAGCUGUGUUAGUCUGGUCUUGCUGAAACAAAAGACAGGACUAUGCAGCACUUUAAAGACUAACAAGAUGGUUUAUUAGGUGAUGAGCUUUCAUGGGCCAGACC